This 128-nucleotide unclassified non-coding RNA is filed under the name uncultured fungus. RNAcentral describes it as "sequence contains ITS1". Lineage: Eukaryota; Fungi. The record is from RNAcentral.
GUAUUAUUUAACUUGUUUACAUUCGUUUACGUUUGAGUUUAUGCCCGAGGGCGUGCACAGUUGUGUGUGUAAAGAUAAGGCCUUGCGGCACAUUUCUAAUGAUCCUUCCGCAGGUUCACCUACGGAAA